This 253-nucleotide ribosomal RNA is filed under the name uncultured bacterium. RNAcentral describes it as "partial 16S ribosomal RNA". It matches the Rfam family "Bacterial small subunit ribosomal RNA", at positions 524 to 776 of the family's 1533-position model. RNAcentral also lists the same sequence under 1 other name. The record is from RNAcentral.
UACGGAGGGUGCAAGCGUUAAUCGGAAUUACUGGGCGUAAAGCGCACGUAGGCGGUGUGUUAAGUUGGAUGUGAAAGCCCCGGGCUCAACCUGGGAAUUGCAUUCAAAACUGGCACGCUAGAGUAUGUGAGAGGGGGGUAGAAUUCCAAGUGUAGCGGUGAAAUGCGUAGAGAUUUGGAGGAAUACCAGUGGCGAAGGCGGCCCCCUGGCACAAUACUGACGCUGAGGUGCGAAAGCGUGGGGAGCAAACAGG